GGUAAGACCAUUAGACAGGCUAUAAAAUGUCACCCUGUAACUAACAAUGAAGCAGAGUAUGAAGCUGUGAUUACAGGUUUAGAGUUGGUACUGGAACUUGGCAUCACACAUAUUAUAAUCAAGAGUGAUUCACAGCUCGUGGUAAAUCAAAUACUGGGGACUUAUGUAGCAAGGGAAACACGAAUGCAAGAGUAUCUCGAAAAGGUACGAGAACUGAUAAGACAGUUCCAAACUUGGAAGGUAAUGCAAAUCCCAAGAGAGGAGAACGCGGAGGCAGAUGCUCUAGCUAAUCUUGCAUCUACGGCAGACAUAGAAAAUGACGCAAAUGCUUCAAUCAUACAUUUAUUCCAUUUAGUUCUCGAACCUGACAAAAAUGGGGUAAAUUUUAAUCACUUAACUUGGGAUUGGAGAAACGAAAUAGUAAUUUUUUGCAGCAUGGAACCGUUCUUGAGGAUAAAAUAAAGGUUCAUGCACUUCGAAAGAAAGCUGCUUGUUAUUGCCUAUAUCAAGGAAACCUUUACCGAAAAAUGUUUGGUGCUCCAUUAGCAAGGUGUCACGAUCCUUCUCAAACGGAGUAUGUGAUAAGAGAAAUACAUGAGAGACAUUGUGGAAAUCAUGCAUGAGGCAUGUCACUUGUAAAGACAUUGAUUCAAGCAGGAUACUAUUGGCCUAAAAUGGAAGAGAAAGCGAAUGAUUUCGUGUCUAAAUGUGACAGAUGUCAAAGAUACGGUAACAAUAUGCAUAGACCAGCCGAAUUAUUACAUCAUGUUGUAUCUCUGUGGCCCUUCAUGAAAUGGGGGAUAGACAUCGUAAGUCCAUUACCACAAGCAAAAGGUCAGGUAAAGUUUUUACUCGUACUUACUGAUUAUUUCACUAAAUAGGUAGAGGGCAUUCAAACAGGUACGAUAGAAAGAGGUUAAAGAUUUUAUCUGGAGAAACAUCAUAUGUCGCUUAGGGGUACCAAAGGAAAUCGUAUGUGAUAAUGGUCCACAAUUCAUAGGAGCACAAAUCAGGAGUUCUUCCAAAGUUGGCAAAUUAAAAGGAUAACUUCAAGAACAUACCAUCCUGUAAGCAAUGGAUAAGUGGGAUCCACAAACAAAGUCAUAAUCAAUAUUUUAAAGAAAAGAUUGCAAGACUCAAAAGGCAAUUGGCCUGAAGUGUUACCUGCAAUACUAUGGGCGUAUCGAACAACAACGAAAACAAGCACGGGAGAAACGCCAUUUUCAAUGGUUUAUAGAGCAGGGGCCUUAAUACUAGUAGAGAUCGGGGAACUAAGCACAAGGUACGUUGUUUCAACGGAAGACUCAAACAAUGAAGAGUUACGAGUGAAUCUUGAUUUACAUUACCCCGAAGGAUAAUGUAUAAGGGAGUUUUUCCACUUUAAGUGACAUUAUUCAAAAUGGGAUUAUUUCUUUAUUUUUAGAGUCGCCACUUGGGAUAAGAUUGGCUUUUGGUGUCCCAAGUCACCGGUUUAAAUUGAAUCCCAAAUCGAGGAAAAUUUCGACUUCCAGUUGGAGUCUGCAAACCAGAAAUUCUAAGCAAGGAAUUCUGUUGACCCGAGGGAAGGUGUUAGGCACCCUUGGAUUCCGUGGUUCUAGCAUGGUUGCUUAAACUAUUACAAAUGGCUAAAAUCUGAUUUUUAUACAUGUUCCAACCUAUAGUGCGAUUUAAAGAUUAUUUACCGCUUUUAAUUUGAUUUUAAAGAAAGUGAACGUCAGUUUAAAAACGUGCUUUUCGAUCACGUCACAUGGAAUGCACCCGGAUCCUCGAAAUAUUCUUAUUCGACGUUUUUGGAUUUGGAUUUAGGUUGCAUGAAAUGCACACCUGUAUUUAAGAAGGUAAUUUUAUUUAAGUAACAGACCUAAAGCAACUAACGUGUUUAUUAUCUUUGCGAGGGCCAUGAUAAUUUGCUAAAUGACAUGCCUCGGAUUUCUAUGCAGUAAAGUUAAUCAAGUGAGGGCCAUGUGUUUUGAGAUUUUAAUUGACAUGGCACACCUCAAAUUAUAACAAAAACAACAACAACCCAGUAUAACCUCACCUAGUGGGGUCUGGGGAGGUUAGUAUGUACGCAGAUCUUACCCCUACACUUGGGUAGAGAGGUUGUUUCCAAAUAGAUCCCCGGCAUCCUUCCCCCCAAGAACUUCCUACCUUGCUCUUGGGGAGACUCGAACUCAGAACCUCUCUGUUGAAAGUGGGGGUUGCUUACCAUCAGAGCAACCCCUCUCGUCAUGGCACACCUCAAAUUAUUCCUAAGAAUUUAUGACUUAAUUAAAGCAGACUACGAUGUUCUUAAUUUGUUAUUUCCCUAAACUUUGGUUUAAAACAAUAGGCUUAAUAAAACCAGAUUCAAACCAUAUGUAUCAAAUUGAAUCUACUGGGCAUCACCUUAGUGUAAAUGCAUAAAAGAAAAAUGGAAGGAAAGGAAUCAUGAUACCGUGACAAAUUGCUCAUGAAAACUUAGAAGAAACAAUACACAUUUACGUGCAUUCGUAACCCAACAAUUGAAACAGUGCCAUGUUCACUUCGUACAUUACUACUAAAUUCUUUAUACAUGUACUUCCUCUCCAUCAUUAGUCCCACUACCGUUCAAAAUAAUUGAUCCAUUUCCCUUGUCAACACAUGAAAGAUAAUCCAAACCGACCAAUACUUUUCAGAAUCACCCCCACAAACUUUCCUCUACCCAAAAAGCAUACAAAUAUCAAUGAAUUUAACAGCCGGCCGCUACAGAUCAUAAAUGAAUAUAACAACUUUCUCGCUAAAAGAUCAUAAAUCAGCAUUAAGUUGACAGCACCAGAAACUAAUCAAAGGAGGAAAUUUCGGCAAGUUCAAUAGCUGGCAUAUUCAAUGUAAUCAAAGAAAAGUCUAGCUACUAGUGGCCUAGAACUUGAAUUCAAUUUAUUAAAUGCAGGAAAACUUCCCAUCCUUACAUACAACAAUGAAAUAAUUCUUCACGAUAUUAUGCAAAAGCCAGCAAUAUGAAUGAAUCAAUGGUAUCACAGUCCACAAUGCAACAGAUUAAAAGAGUUACUUAGAAAAUGUAAAAGGACUGAAAAAUAAACCAUAAACUUGAUUAUCCACUGAAACCAUAAAUACAGAGGAGUUCAGACUGACCUAUUUCAGCAAGGAAGUUAAUAUGAGCCAAAUAAGAGCAGCAAAUCAGUUCAAACAGCUCGGCAAAAUAGAUAGAGCAAAUGCAACAACAUAUAUCUGGCACAAACUUCAGAAUCCUAGAGAAUGAGAAGACGAGGCAGUAGCAACUUCAAACGAAUUUUCUCUUGAUUUUUUUGCUAGAGAUUUUCAUAUUCAAAGAUACCGGAAUCCGUGUAUAUUCUUUUUCCGGAUUCGAAACAAACUCGACAGCUUCACUAAACUAUGAAAAUUCCCCAAAAGUGUAGAACAACGAAUUGAAAUUGAACCCAACUUUGUAACCUUGAAUUUCAGAUCUGAUCUCUGUAAUUUCACGACCUUGCUAGAGGCCUAAGCAUGUGUGUCUUCUCAUGAAGUGUAUGAGCAGGAUGUAUAUAUGAGAAUGGAGAAGUUUCAGAGCUGCUUCCAUGGCAUUUUGGUUGUUUUUUCUAGCUGAUUUUGUGAUUUUGAGAUUGCGGCUGUUUUUGGGGUCGAUUGGUGAGUGUGUGUAUGUGUUAUGACUGAUUUUAUAUGGAGAGAAUGGAGGAGCAGGGGCCUUUUCGUUGAAGAUGAUGGGAGCACGCAGAAGAGGUCCAAGCUCCGAGUGAAACAAAAAUGAGGAAGGGGUCACGCUAUUUCCGUGUCACUAGCUCCCUCCCCGUUCUUUCGCGUGUUCUCUUUUAAUGAGGGAGGGGGGUCCGAU
RNAcentral lists this long non-coding RNA (3829 nucleotides) under Nicotiana benthamiana. Its description in RNAcentral is "long non-coding RNA (NBEN_LNC011553)". Lineage: Eukaryota; Viridiplantae; Streptophyta; Magnoliopsida; Solanales; Solanaceae. The record is from RNAcentral.